This 507-nucleotide ribosomal RNA is filed under the name uncultured bacterium. Its description in RNAcentral is "partial 16S ribosomal RNA". It matches the Rfam family "Bacterial small subunit ribosomal RNA", at positions 28 to 507 of the family's 1533-position model. The record is from RNAcentral.
GACGAACGCUGGCGGCGUGCCUAAUACAUGCAAGUCGAACGCAUUUUCUUUCACCGUAGCUUGCUACACCGAAAGAAAAUGAGUGGCGAACGGGUGAGUAACACGUGGGUAACCUGCCCAUCAGCGGGGGAUAACACUUGGAAACAGGUGCUAAUACCGCAUAAUUCCAUUUACCGCAUGGUAGAUGGAUGAAAGGGGCUUUUGCGUCACUGAUGGAUGGACCCGCGGUGCAUGAGCUAGUUGGUGGGGUAACGGCCUACCAAGGCUGCGAUGCAUAGCCGACCUGAGAAGGUGAUCGGCCAAACUGGGACUGAGACACGGCCCAGAAUACUACGGGAAGCAGCAGUAGGGGAUCUUCGGCAAUGGACACAAAUCCUACCGAGCAACGCCGCGUGAGUGAAGAAGGUUUUCGGAUCGUAAAACUCUGUUGUUAGAGAAGAACAAGGAUGAGAGUGGAAAGUUCAUCCCUUGACGGUAUCUAACCAGAAAGCCACGGCUAACUACGUG